GUCCCCAUAGUGUAGUUUGGUAGCACGACAGCCUCUCAAGCUGUUAGCACGGGUUCAAAUCCCGUUGGGGGUAC
Molecule: transfer RNA, 74 nt
Filed under: Streptomyces phage BRock
Lineage: Duplodnaviria; Heunggongvirae; Uroviricota; Caudoviricetes
Description: tRNA-Glu
Rfam family: tRNA
About the family: Transfer RNA (tRNA) molecules are approximately 80 nucleotides in length.
Source: RNAcentral